Molecule: ribosomal RNA, 558 nt
Filed under: uncultured bacterium
Lineage: Bacteria
Description: bacterial SSU rRNA
Rfam family: Bacterial small subunit ribosomal RNA
Source: RNAcentral
CAUGCAGUCGAACGGUAACAUUUCUAGCUUGCUAGAAGAUGACGAGUGGCGGACGGGUGAGUAAUGCUUGGGAACUUGCCUUUGCGAGGGGGAUAACAGUUGGAAACGACUGCUAAUACCGCAUAAUGUCUUCGGACCAAACGGGGCUUCGGCUCCGGCGCAAAGAGAGGCCCAAGUGAGAUUAGCUAGUUGGUAAAGUAACGGCUUACCAAGGCGACGAUCUCUAGCUGUUCUGAGAGGAAGAUCAGCCACACUGGGACUGAGACACGGCCCAGACUCCUACGGGAGGCAGCAGUGGGGAAUAUUGCACAAUGGGGGAAACCCUGAUGCAGCCAUGCCGCGUGUGUGAAGAAGGCCUUCGGGUUGUAAAGCACUUUCAGUUGUGAGGAAAAGUUAGUAGUUAAUACCUGCUAGCCGUGACGUUAACAACAGAAGAAGCACCGGCUAACUCCGUGCCAGCAGCCGCGGUAAUACGGAGGGUGCGAGCGUUAAUCGGAAUUACUGGGCGUAAAGCGCACGCAGGCGGUUUGUUAAGCUAGAUGUGAAAGCCCCGGGCUC